This 549-nucleotide long non-coding RNA is filed under the name Citrus maxima (pomelo). RNAcentral's name for it is "long non-coding RNA (CMAX_LNC003252)". Lineage: Eukaryota; Viridiplantae; Streptophyta; Magnoliopsida; Sapindales; Rutaceae. The record is from RNAcentral.
UUCUCUACAUGCCCACAUAUGUGAGAGAGAUAAUUGAAGAUGACAGAGAAGAUUGCAACCAUAUUUUGUAGAUCUCAAUAGUGGUGGUGAAAAAGAUUGCAGUCAUCUUCUUCAAAUCUUCCACAUGAAAUCAAGGUAGUUCUCUAACCUUAUGCAUGUAUGCAUAAAAUAAAAUAAAAAAUUCUUGGCUUCUGCUGAUUUUAUAAAAUAAAAUAAAAAUUAUUUUUUCUAGAUUUCAUUUACCAUCACCUUUUGCACUCUGCUGAGGAAUUUGUCAAAAUUAAUAAUCGAUAGAUGAUGUCUCUAUGAUUGAUCUCAUCAGUUCAAUUAAGCAUAGCUGUUAAGUAAGGUGUUUUAUUAACUUCUAGCAAGCUCUUAGCUUAAAUGCAUGCAAUUGGCUUGUGGCAGCACCAGCAAUUUUCUAAUUUCUCUCCAUCAAAAUUCACAACACACGAAGACAUAGGGGUGCAGUAAAUGGAUGGUCAAGAAGGCUAACAUUAACAUAUCAUUUUGCCAACGACUAUAGUCCCUACAAAGAAGACAAAAAAU